GGAUGGAUCAUUCUUAGUGCUUGAAUCAUUCUGUAAGAUUGUAAGAUCAAUUUAGGUUUGGACUAUUGAUUGAAAAGUCUCCAAGCGAUGGCUGACUUGGUCCUCAUAACGAAUAAGGACGCAGCCAACUGCGAUAAGUAGUAUGAUAUGCGAAGUUUCGAGAAUACAUAAUUUCUGAAUGCUGUUGCACCUAGCCCUGGUGGCUGGGUCCGGAGUCGUCGGGUAUUGAAUUUCGUCAACACGGUUCAAGUGAACUCUAUCGAUUGAGAGUGGCAUGAACACACCAAUUCUAGACCAAACAUAAAAUUAAGCUAGACAGUGUAAUCGUGUUUGUCCGACAACUGCGGGAUUACCCGCCGAAUUUAAGCAUAUAACUAAGCGGAGGAUAAGAAAGUAACUAUGAUUCCCUCAGUAGUGGCGAACGAAGUGGGAUGUGUUCAAAGUGAUAAUCUGGCCUUAGUCAGAGAUGUUCAUUGUCGAUGGUUUGACGUGACUGACCAACGAAGUGCAUGAAAGUGCAUCUCAUAGAGGGUGAUGAGCCUGUCGUUGAAUGUGUUUGUUUAGUCUCAUACGCGACAUUCAGAGUAUCGUUCUUUGAGAGUAGAGCGUGAAUAGGGAUUAACUUUUCCCUCAAACUAAGUACCUUUGAGUGACCGACAGCGAACAAGUACCGUGAGGGAAAGUUGAAAAGCACUCCGAAAGGAGGGUUAAAUAUCUAAAAUCGCUUGGGGUGAAGUAAUUACACAACCGUUGACUUGCCAUUCUUUCUGGCGGUCAAGCACUCGUUGUGGAAACGAACGACACUUUUCACUUUUCUGAUUAAAAGAGAACUCAGAUGAUGUCGCGUCCGCAGUGGAGCUUGCAAAGGAUGUGAAACUGGCCCGUCUUGAAACACGGACCGAGGAGUUGUACAUAAGUGCAAGUAUAAGGGUGACACUCCCUUAUGCGCAGUGAAUGCGGAAAUUUGAUUCAACCUGUGGCCGGUCGACCGACUGUGCUUGAGCAUUUCUGUUCAGACCCGAAAGAUGGUGACCUAUACUUGGAUUGGGUGAAGCCAGGGGAAACUCUGGUGGAGGCUCGUAGCGAUACUGACGUGCAAAUCGUUCGUCGAAUUUGAGUAUAGGGGCGAAAGACUAAUCGAACCAUCUAGUAGCUGGUUCCCUU
This 1164-nucleotide unclassified non-coding RNA is filed under the name uncultured soil eukaryote. RNAcentral's name for it is "sequence contains 18S rRNA gene, ITS1, 5.8S rRNA gene, ITS2, 28S rRNA gene". The stretch from base 330 to 1164 matches the Rfam family "Eukaryotic large subunit ribosomal RNA", at positions 1 to 961 of the family's 3401-position model. The record is from RNAcentral.